CCUACGGGUGGCAGCAGUGAGGAAUAUUGGUCAAUGGGCGCGAGCCUGAACCAGCCAAGUCGCGUGAGGGAAGACGGUCCUAUGGAUUGUAAACCUCUUUUGUCGGGGAGCAAAAGACGCCACGCGUGGCGUUCCGAGAGUACCCGAAGAAAAAGCAUCGGCUAACUCCGUGCCAGCAGCCGCGGUAAUACGGAGGAUGCGAGCGUUAUCCGGAUUGAUUGGGUUUAAAGGGUGCGUAGGCGGAAGGCCAAGUCAGCGGUAAAAUAGCGGGGCUCAACCUCGCUCCGCCGUUGAAACUGGCGUUCUGGAGUGGGCGAGAAGUAUGCGGAAUGCGUGGUGUAGCGGUGAAAUGCAUAGAUAUCACGCAGAACUCCGAUUGCGAAGGCAGCAUACCGGCGCCCAACUGACGCUGAAGCACGAAAGCGUGGGUAUCGAACAGGAUUAGAUACCCCGGUAGUC
This 459-nucleotide ribosomal RNA is filed under the name uncultured bacterium. Its description in RNAcentral is "partial 16S ribosomal RNA". It matches the Rfam family "Bacterial small subunit ribosomal RNA", at positions 338 to 795 of the family's 1533-position model. The record is from RNAcentral.